RNAcentral lists this ribosomal RNA (1305 nucleotides) under Triticum aestivum (bread wheat). RNAcentral's name for it is "partial small subunit ribosomal RNA". The record is from RNAcentral. Lineage: Eukaryota; Viridiplantae; Streptophyta; Magnoliopsida; Poales; Poaceae.
AUGGACAACACACUACCAGUAACGGCGCCCACCGCGCACGCGCCCAUGCCGUCGCCGGCGCCGAAGCUUGGAGGUGCAAACAUCGCCAGCCGGUGGCGCGAGCUCCAGGGCUCGGACUCGUGGGUUGGGCUCCUGGACCCGCUGGACUACGACCUCCGACAAUCCAUCAUAUCUUACGGCGAGCUCGCAUCGGCCGCCCACGACGUGUUCAACCUUGAGAAGCGGUCACCUCACGCCGGCUUCUGCUUGUACAGCCGCGACCACCUUCUCGCCGCCUCCACCGUGACCCACCCUGAGUACUACAAGGUCACCAAGUUCCUCUACGCGACCUGCGGGGGAUCAACGGCAUCGAGGUUGGCCACAUCCGUGCCAACGGUGACCAACGCGCUGUUCGUGCAACCGCUGGGAAAGGCCGAGGGGACUCCGACGUCCAACUGGAUGGGUUACGUGGCGGUGGCGACGAACGAGGGAGUUACAGCACUGGGGAGGCGUGACAUCGUCGUGGUGUGGCGCGGCACCGAGAACGAGUUGGAGUGGGAGGAAGACAAGCACUUCCUUCAGGUGUCUGCCGCGCCGGUGUUGGGCCGCUAUGCUGACGAAGAUUACAAGAACGCCAAGGUGCACCGUGGCUUCCUAUCCGUGUACACGUCCAGUGACAACAACUCCAUGUACAACAAGACCAGCGCCAGAGAGCAGGUUCUCGAGGAGGUAGGGAGGCUAAUGGAGGAGUACAAGGACGAGGUGACCAGCAUCACCGUCACCGGCCAUAGCCUUGGAGCGUCACUCGCCACCCUCACCGCCAUCGACCUGGUGGCCAACGACGUCAACGUGCCCCCUAACUCGAAGCAACCGCCGUGCCCCGUGACAGCGAUACUGCUGGCGUGCCCGCGAGUCGGGAACCCCACGUUCAAGUCCGCCUUCGACUCAUUCCACCUCCUGCGGGCACUCCACGUGGCGAACGCCAAAGACCUCGUGCCACAGAACCCUCCCUCUGUGUUGUUAAUGUGGUACGUGGACUGCGCGACAGCAACGAUCGUAAUUGACACGGACCGGUCACCCUACGUGUUUCACAAAAUAUCGACCCACCACGUCCUCGAGUUGUACCUGCACGGUGUCGCAGGGGAUCAUGGCGACAAGGCGGACUUCAAACUAGUGGUUCCCCGCGACGUGGCGCUGGUGAACAAGACUAUCGACCUGCUGACAGACGAAUACCCAGUGCCGGGGAGCUGGUGGGUCAUUAAAAACAAAUGCAUGGUCAAGGGCACCGAUGGCCAGUGGAAACUCGAUGACUUCGAAGAAGCAUAG